Molecule: non-coding RNA, 518 nt
Organism: Peromyscus maniculatus bairdii (prairie deer mouse)
Lineage: Eukaryota; Metazoa; Chordata; Mammalia; Rodentia; Cricetidae
Source: RefSeq, a predicted model, not a curated record
UGGAGGGGUGUGGAGGACUGGUGUAGAGUGAGAUGGACCAGCAGGACUCCAGGCUCAACUGAUCACCAUUGCUGAAGAGGGAGGUGAGCGGAGUUCCAGGGAGGAGGACCAUCUUCCCAGGCAUGGAUGGGAAGCAAUCAAGCUGCUGAUGUGUUCUGCAGAUUUAGUGAAGGCUGACGAAGAUGACCUUUGAUUCAUUGGAAAACAAAAUUACAGCUUAUCACAGUGAUUUUCAGCCUUGUGGGAUUGAAUGUUUCAUCAGCAGGAUCUCCCUUCAUGACAGGUAACUAAUGUCGCAGCUGAACUGGAGAAAAGCCGUUUGAUUUCUACAGCCCCAGAGAAGUGCUUGUUAUAGAAACUCUACAAUGCAGUAUCAAAAGUGAAGGCGUCCAACCAACCAAUCACACCAUGGAUUCACUCCCUGAAUGGAAAGGUGGGAGAGUAUAGUGAGGAUGAAGAGAUGGACAUCUUUCCUUUUCACUUACAUAAAUACAAUACUAUUAUUAAAGUUGAUCAAA